This 301-nucleotide unclassified non-coding RNA is filed under the name plant metagenome. RNAcentral's name for it is "partial contains 5.8S ribosomal RNA, internal transcribed spacer 2, and large subunit ribosomal RNA". The stretch from base 1 to 105 matches the Rfam family "5.8S ribosomal RNA", at positions 50 to 154 of the family's 154-position model. The record is from RNAcentral.
GAAAUGCGAUAAGUAGUGUGAAUUGCAGAAUUCAGUGAAUCAUCGAAUCUUUGAACGCACAUUGCGCCCUAUGGUAUUCCGUAGGGCAUGCCUGUUCGAGCGUCAUUUACACCUUCAAGCCUUGCUUGGUGUUGGGUGACUGUGGCCCCUUUGGGGCCACUCGCCUUAAAGUCAUUGGCGGCCGGUUCGUUGGCUUUGUAGCGCAGCACAAUUACGUCCUCGAAGCCGCUGGACCAGCUCCCAGAAGCUAAUUUUAAAUGUUUGACCUCGAAUCAGGUAGGGAUACCCGCUGAACUUAAGC